Molecule: long non-coding RNA, 498 nt
Filed under: Nicotiana benthamiana
Lineage: Eukaryota; Viridiplantae; Streptophyta; Magnoliopsida; Solanales; Solanaceae
Description: long non-coding RNA (NBEN_LNC019231)
Source: RNAcentral
AGUCAAUAUUUCAUUAGAAUUCUUAUCAUAUAGAGUAUUACAUACCUCUUUUUAUCUCUCCACCUUUCUAUUUAUAUGGAAUAUACCCCUUGCCUAACCUAAAGUAUAGGUACAGAGAAUAUUCAAUAGAAUAUUCCCCUAAAAUAUCUUAUUACAAAACUAGCCGUUAUGGUCGUCCUGAGUAUACGACCUCGGCCCCGAUUAAUCAGCUCGCCGAUAAGUUCCUUCAAUCUUGUGUACGACCUCGGCCUAAUCGCCUCUUAGUAAUUUAUCCUUGUGCAAGAUUCCCUUUGUCAGAUUUUGACAUAUACAAUACUAUUCAUACAAAAUACUAUCCAUAUCCCCCUCCCCCCUCCCGGUAUUUAAAUGCUUCAAAUAUGCCCCUCUCCGAAAUCGUAUAAAGAUAGACAAAAAAGAAUGGAUUAACCGUCCCUCCAAGAUCAGGUGCGUAGUAAAAUCAUAUUUCGCCAAUGCCAAUAUUGGGACGAGGGCUAUUAU